GCCGCUCCCACGGCAUAUGGAGGUUCCCACGCUAGGGGUCCAAUCAGAGCUAUAGCCACUGGCCUACGCCAGAGCCACAGCAACUCGGGAUCCUAGCCGCAUCUGCAACCUACACCAUAGCUCACGGCAACGCCGGAUCUUUCACUCACUGAGCAAGGGCAGGGACCGAACCAGCAACCUCAUGGUUCCUAGUCGGAUUCGUUAACCACUGUGCCACGACGGGAACUCCCUCUUUUGCUUUAGAUUGAGGUAAAGCACACACCCAGGUUCAGGUUCCCAUUCUGCCACUCCCUGGAUGUAUGACUUGGGUGAGCUGUUGGUCUCUCUCAGCUGCUGUUUUCUCACUUGUGAAAUGAAAAUAACAAUAUAUCCCCUUAUAAUUUUUGGGAGAAUAAGAAGCAAAGUAUGUAAAAUGGCCAGGGCAGUGCUUGGAUCAAAUCUAUCAUGUGAUAUUGAGUACAUGCCCCUCUCGUCUCGGAUCGUAAGUCCUCUGCAGGCAGGGACAUGUCCCAGUCACUGCUGGCCCAGGGUUGGCAGGAAGAGGGGCUUCAGCAGUUGGUGAUGGGAAUUCUUCUUUCCCCGGUUCUCAGGAGAUUUGGCUUGAAGUCUGUAACAUUAAGAUCCGAUAGCAACUUAAAAGAUAAACAACCCCAGAAUAGGUUUUUUCGGCAUUAAACAGAGCAACUUUCGAAUGGGUCAUGUAGGAAAAAACAAAAAUCUUCACUAUGUUGUAUAGAGGAAGGCUCACAGGAUAUGGUUCACUCUGGAAAGAUGUACUGAGGAUUUCAAACUGAAGGCAAAUACAUUCAUAGUAAAAACAUUACAUAUGAUCUGCUAAUUAAAAAAAAAAAAAAAGAAAACAGUGUCAAACAAAAACACUCGGAUAAUCAUAUCUCUGUAAACCUCACUCGGAGGCUCGGUUUCCGUUUUUCCAAAGUUUCAGGGCUGGAUUAGUCCAUGGGCCUCACAGACUUUGAUAAGAUGUUGGCCUUCCCCCUAAAUAGAGGGGAAAGCCACUAGUGUUUUAAGCAAGAGUAGGCCAUGAUCUGAUUUAUGUUUUUUACAGCCUAGACUUUUCCUCACCUUUCCUGUGCUAUUACUGUUCUCCAUCCUGCCUUUUGUGCUUUAUCUCCUGUCAGUUUUUCUUUCUACAGAGCCCCCGUCCCACUCUAGCCUCCCUUCUCUGAACGCAGAGCAUUUGCUGGGAUCCUAAUCGCAUUCUGCCCCAUGACACGACCUGCUAUUAUUAUCUUCCGCACAUGUUCAUUCAUUCAUUCGACAAGCAUGUAUUGAACAGCUGCAGUGUGUUAAGUGCUAGGGACAUGGAGAUGAUUAGGACAGGUCUCUGCUUCCCAGGAGCCUGCAGCCUGAGGCGGGGGGGCAGGGAGCCGGGGGGACAGCUAUAUAAACAAAUCACUGGGGGCCGUGGAGUAAGCCAGUGAUAAGCAUGGCAGGGUUUUAUGAGAUCCAAGAUAAAGGGAGGGGGAAUGAGGCAGGGUGGACAGGGCCGGGGGUAGCGGGGGGAGACUUCCUGCAGAGAGGAGGCCGGACUGGGAGGGAGGGUGAAGGGAUGGGAUGAGAGGGGUGGAGGGAAGCAAAGGAUGGGCAGGAAGAGGAGGCGGAGGGACUGCGAGCAGCAUCUAGUGGAAGGCUGAGAAGAGUAGAUGAGGCCACUACUCAUCUACUCAUCAUGGCACAAAACAAACAACAUGACACCCAGGAUACCUGCCGUCUCCCAGGGGAACUGAGCCAGGUGACCACCACAGCUAUGCGGGUGUCAUUGAUUUCUUCACUGAAAUGCCACCCUGGGGAUACCACAGGGAGCAAAACAAACACACACUCUGUGCUCAGGGCCUGUAAAAGACUAGCUGGUGGCCUGGUGGAGACCAGGUAUUGGGGGAGCAGGCGGCGGGGGGGGGGGGGGCAGAAAAGAGCCUUGACCCAGCUUCAGGGCCCAGGGAAGGCUUCCUGGAAGCGGUGUCCUCUGGUCAGCUCCCCUUCUCAGAUUUUAAGGAGGAGUGAGAAAGGUGUGUGCAGAGAGAGAGAGAGAACACCAUCACCUUUCUUCUGAAACCCUCAGCCUCCCAGGCCCAAGAAAUGAAACCCCAGGCCCAGACUGGAGGAGAAGAUGGAAAAUAGGCUGGAAAAGGCCUGCAGAGCAAUGCCGGUUGUUCUGUGGUCUUCCUGGCCGUCCCCUGGAACAUGGGCCUGUUUUGCAAACACAGCAAGUUAGGUCAAAUAUGUGCGGUUUGGCCCUGGCUCAGCCAACCCAACUCUCUAAGCAAAUAGCAAAACUUUUUUUCUCUUUUUUUCCUAAACGCAAUUUUCUCUGGGUGCAUAAUUUAUAGAACUCCAGCGAACUGCAGUUUGGCUUUCUUCCCAAGAAGGGAAAACAUCUCCUCAGAUUUUCCACACACCCGCCUCAUUCUGCUGGCUGCUGGCCAAGACUUCCCAGGAGGGUGGGGGCAGGGCUCCUGCCACUCUGGAGAAAGGCAGGGGUGUACCACCACCCGGAGCAGUGUGGGCAGCGAUCCCAGGGGUCGUGGCCACCGUGGUGCUGGUGGGCGUUCAUAACAGGGGUAGGAGGGAGGUCAGGAAACUGUGCCAACAGCAGGGCUGCUAGAAAACUACGCUGGGGACCAGUCGACCCAGGAAGAGCCUGCCACUGUUGACAAAGCAUCUUCUCAUCUCGCCUGAGUCUCCCAACAGCUCCACAAGGAGGGUAGGACACAUAUAAUUACUAUUCCCAUGUAACCGAUGAAUUGCUAAAAGGGGGAACAGGUCACUUGAAAUUAGCCUGACUCAAGUUAGAAUCCCUCCUCUGCCACUGAGUGACCUUGGGCAACUUGCAAAACCUCGUGCAGUCUCAUCUGUUUUAGCAGGAACAAUGACAGCGUUUCCCCGAAGGGGCUGUGCUGAGGGUUGAAUGAGGUACAGCAUGUAAGGAGCCCACUCCAUGCCCGGCCCCAGCGGAUGCUCUCUUGCUUCAAUUACAAUGGCUGGAGAGGGUUCCUGAGUCCUGGGGGCACUGCUGGGACUGCGACCCGGUGUUUGGACUCUCAGCACGGCCUUUUAUGCUGCCUGUCACCCGUGUGCCCAUGGGCCCAGCCCAUCCCGAAGCAGAGGCUGCAAGCUUUCCUUUGCAUUCCUAGCUGAGAGAUCCCGGCUGGGAGCUGAGGAGUCCUGAGGUCCAGUAGGUCAGUCCUUAAGUCCAAAUGCCUGUCAUGCUCUGUGGGGGCAAAUAGCUUUAGAAACUGCAUAGCUCGUGAAACUUAAGCUUCAGAACAUGAGCUCCAGUUCACAAUCAGCCUGUUUCCUCUUAUAGUCAAGGGCGAGCAUCCAGAUCCCCCUUCAUUUAUCAUUGUCAUUGCUGCUCAGAAAGGUCAGUGAGCAUUCCUCUCGGUUGCUUCCAGCCACUUGGCUCUGGGCAGUGAUUCCCACAGAGAGACUUAGAGGCUCUGAGCCUUACACAUAGUAGGCAUUCAAGAAUGUUUGCUGGGAAGUGCUCAGGCAGUGCCCCCAUUAGGGGUGGGAAGUUUGUGUCAUCACAGCAUAUAUAGAAACAGCAUUUCCCCAUCUGGACCAGUUCAGUAGGUACUCUGUUAUAGACCCGGAGUGUUCCCCCAAGGAAAAUUCUACAGACUGUACAUAUAUUUUCUCUG
This 3662-nucleotide long non-coding RNA is filed under the name Sus scrofa (pig). Its description in RNAcentral is "lncRNA (ENSSSCG00000057669.1)". The record is from RNAcentral. Lineage: Eukaryota; Metazoa; Chordata; Mammalia; Artiodactyla; Suidae.